Molecule: ribosomal RNA, 691 nt
Filed under: Trypanosoma sp.
Lineage: Eukaryota; Euglenozoa; Kinetoplastea; Trypanosomatida; Trypanosomatidae
Description: SSU rRNA
Rfam family: Eukaryotic small subunit ribosomal RNA
Source: RNAcentral
GCCAAGCUAAUACAUGAGUUAAGGGACGCGUUCUGUUCCGGCGGCGGGGCAACUCGCCGCCUUGGCGCGUCCGGCGAAUGAAUGAAAGUAAAACCAACGCCCUCACGGGCAGUAACACUUUAGAAGUGCUGACUCAAUUCAUUCCGUGCGAAAGCUGGGUUUUUUAUCCGGCGUCUUUUGACGAACAACUGCCCUAUCAGCCAGCGAUGGCCGUGUAGUGGACUGCCAUGGCGUUGACGGGAGCGGGGGAUUAGGGUUCGAUUCCGGAGAGGGAGCCUGAGAAAUAGCUACCACUUCUACGGAGGGCAGCAGGCGCGCAAAUUGCCCAAUGUCAAAAAAAAACGAUGAGGCAGCGAAAAGAAAUAGAGCCGAGAGCGCCUUAGGCGUUGUCGUUUUCAAUGGGGGAUAUUUAAACCCAUCCAAAAUCGAGUAACAAUUGGAGGACAAGUCUGGUGCCAGCACCCGCGGUAAUUCCAGCUCCAAAAGCGUAUAUUAAUGCUGUUGCUGUUAAAGGGUUCGUAGUUGAACUGUGGGCCUUUGAGGUGCAAUGGUUUUGUCCCGUCCACUUCGGAUUGGUGACCCAUGCCCUUGAGGUCCGUGAACACACAGAACCAAAAAACACGGGAGUGGUACCUUCCUGAUUUUCGCAUGUCAUGCAUGCCAGGGGGCGCCCGUGAUUUUUACUGUGACU